AGUCGAGCGGUAGAGAGAAGCUUGCACCUCUUGAGAGCGGCGGACGGGUGAGUAAAGCCUAGGAAUCUGCCUGGUAGUGGGGGAUAACGCUCGGAAACGGACGCUAAUACCGCAUACGUCCUACGGGAGAAAGCAGGGGACCUUCGGGCCUUGCGCUAUCAGAUGAGCCUAGGUCGGAUUAGCUAGUUGGUGAGGUAAUGGCUCACCAAGGCGACGAUCCGUAACUGGUCUGAGAGGAUGAUCAGUCACACUGGAACUGAGACACGGUCCAGACUCCUACGGGAGGCAGCAGUGGGGAAUAUUGGACAAUGGGCGAAGGCCUGAUCCAGCCAUGCCGCGUGUGUGAAGAAGGUCUUCGGAUUGUAAAGCACUUUAAGUUGGGAGGAAGGGCAGUAAAUUAAUACUUUGCUGUUUUGACGUUACCGACAGAAUAAGCACCGGCUAACUCUGUGCCAGCAGCCGCGGUAAUACAGAGGGUGCAAGCGUUAAUCGGAAUUACUGGGCGUAAAGCGCGCGUAGGUGGUUAGUUAAGUUGGAUGUGAAAUCCCCGGGCUCAACCUGGGAACUGCAUUCAAAACUGACUGACUAGAGUAUGGUAGAGGGUGGUGGAAUUUCCUGUGUAGCGGUG
RNAcentral lists this ribosomal RNA (628 nucleotides) under uncultured bacterium. Its description in RNAcentral is "bacterial SSU rRNA". It matches the Rfam family "Bacterial small subunit ribosomal RNA", at positions 60 to 683 of the family's 1533-position model. The record is from RNAcentral.